UAGCGGAACUCCUACGGGAGGCAGCAGUAGGGAAUCUUCCGCAAUGGACGAAAGUCUGACGGAGCAACGCCGCGUGAGUGAUGAAGGUUUUCGGAUCGUAAAGCUCUGUUGUUAGGGAAGAACAAGUACCGUUCGAAUAGGGCGGUACCUUGACGGUACCUAACCAGAAAGCCACGGCUAACUACGUGCCAGCAGCCGCGGUAAUACGUAGGUGGCAAGCGUUGUCCGGAAUUAUUGGGCGUAGAGGGCUCGCAGGCGGUUUCUUAAGUCUGAUGUGAAAGCCCCCGGCUCAACCGGGGAGGGUCAUUGGAAACUGGGGAACUUGAGUGCAGAAGAGGAGAGUGGAAUUCCACGUGUAGCGGUGAAAUGCGUAGAGAUGUGGAGGAACACCAGUGGCGAAGGCGACUCUCUGGUCUGUAACUGACGCUGAUGUGCGAAAGCGUGGGGAUCAAACAGGAUUAGAAACCCUGGUAGUCCACUUAUG
This 484-nucleotide ribosomal RNA is filed under the name uncultured bacterium. RNAcentral's name for it is "bacterial SSU rRNA". It matches the Rfam family "Bacterial small subunit ribosomal RNA", at positions 328 to 803 of the family's 1533-position model. The record is from RNAcentral.